CCUGUUUCUCACCCGCAAAAAACCCUCCUAUUUGUCUUCUUUCUCAGACCUAGUACAUUGUAGUCAGAUAAACCAUACAUUAGGAAAUCAAAAUCAAAAGAGACAAAAGAGACAGGGGUAAAGGAAUAGAAGCACCAAAAGAGACAUGGGUAAAGGAAUAGAAGCACCUAAUAGAGAUUUUGUCGUGGACCUAUUGAUAUUGCCCAGGAAUGUUUGGUCCCAUCCUGAAGUCACGUCCAGCAACAGAAAUAGGACGAUGGAGGUUAGGUACCCUAUAAUUCCAAAUAUGGCCGAGGAAGAGUUGAAAGAAGGCAACCACAACAAAAACAAUUCGCCCGAACUCAUAAAUAAUGGACAUGUGCAUGAACUUUGCUUGUGAAACUUGUACAGCUGAGAGGAUUCACUACCAAAAUAUAACAUAAAUGAAGUUCAUGCAGUUUCAAUUACUAACAAAAAAACAUGGCGAAGCUGACACAGAAAAUGGCAACAACGCAUAAUAAACUAUUUUCCAUUGGUUAAGAUCCUAGAUAAACAAAAACAUGAAUCCAACCAGGUAAAAUGUGGAAACGUAAGCUACAAAAUUGCAAUUGCUUCAAAAAUAGAAGUUUGGUUGUCUGGUAUUUUCAGUGCUAAAAUUAAUUAUUUAUGAUUGAUGUGCCCAUUUCCCAAUUUGAAUUUCAAACUUAAAGUGGAAUUUUGUUUUUUGAUAUUUUAGUCAACCACUCGUAUUUCCAAAAUUGUGCUAACAAAGAAAACCCCACAGUAAUUGAUAUUGAUUAUUAACAUUUCCAUUUCGAGUUUACAGAAUUUUAUGAAGGGCAAUUUAGUUUCUGUAAUAGCAAUGUAGGAUACAAGAGUUAGCUUGGUAAAUCUAUUUGGAACAAGCUCACAUUCAAGAUGGUGAAAAGAGAUAACCGAAUCAUCUACAAAAUGCAUGGUGAAAAAAGGCGCAACAUUUAUUAUAGUUGUCAUUUGCAAUUACAACCAUAGAUAGAUGAACCAUAGUCCAGAACAGAUCAACGAACAUUUUGAGAUUGCUCUUAAAUUAUUAGCAUUGACUAUACACUCCAGAAUGACAAAAGGCUGGGAUACAUCAAAGCAAUAGAAAAAGAACUAUUGACAUCAAAAUAUUGAAUUGUAUUUGCCAUUAAAUGGAAGGGAAAGGCAUAAAGUAACGCAAUAAAAGUCACUCGUCUACUUCAGCCACCUUAUGCCGCAAAGAUGAAAUAAUUCCAGCUAUUAACCACAUCAAAAGCUCGUAAUGUAAUGAAUUAUGAUCAAUAGAUCGCAUGUACACGCCAGUUAAAAUUUCAUUGCCGCUCAAACUGCAUUUAAUGGCUGGUUUUCAACGACCAAGAGUUCAAGACACAAUAUUUCAACCAUGGGCAGAACUGCAAUAUAGGCAAUGACACAAAUACUGAUAGAUGAGGCAGUACAAUUAUUAUAAUUAACAUAUCCCUUCAACCAAUAGCAAAAGAGGCGUUCACUUAGAAACAUAGAUGAGCUAGUUGACAACCUUGCUCCAAGAAAACAUUUCUCCUGCUACGUACAAUGUAAGCAAGUGGGUCCCAACCAAUUUGCACCAUCACAUUCACUAUAUAACUGAUACAAACAACAUUAACCAAAUCAUUUCUCCUCACGAAUGAAAGCCUAAAAAUUAUUACCACGGGGGACCACAACAAACAAUAAAGUAGUAGAGCAACAAACAACCAAACAAGAUAUGACAAAGAACAUAUCUUUAUUCGAGUGCUUGAACCAAGAGCCGACAAAACGGCAGGGUAGUUAUUUAAGAUGCCCACAACUCAAAUUGUUCCCAUGGUGAGGUUGAAGAAUCUUUCCAAUCUAAAUUUACAUGUCGAGUGAUAGACCAAAACUCCAUUCAUUUAACAAACUAAUCAGAACCCCAUUCGAUUUCUAGCUAUUUAAGAUCAACUACUUACAGUCUGUCUAAGAACUAAACCAUUUUCUUAACAACCUAACUAUGGGACAUCAACCUAGAACUGUAAGGUAGAAUGCCAACCAAAGCAUGCAAAUGGUUAACCUGAAGAAACACGUAAUUUGGAAGAUGAUCACAUGGAAGCGCAACAACCAUAGUAGACCAUGUUGCCUUGAAUCAAUAUUAAAUCACCAACCUUGUAUCAGCUUUGUAUUGUUCACCUGCAUAGGCCGCAGUUGCAUAAGCCCAUAGAUAUAGUACAAGCUGAGGCUUGCUCUGAUUGUACUCAUCAGCAUUCUUAGAUAC
This 2242-nucleotide long non-coding RNA is filed under the name Triticum aestivum (bread wheat). RNAcentral's name for it is "long non-coding RNA (TAES_LNC007185)". Lineage: Eukaryota; Viridiplantae; Streptophyta; Magnoliopsida; Poales; Poaceae. The record is from RNAcentral.